Long non-coding RNA from Lepisosteus oculatus (spotted gar), 662 nucleotides. RefSeq lists it as uncharacterized. NCBI's taxonomy places the organism in Eukaryota, Metazoa, Chordata, Actinopteri, Semionotiformes, Lepisosteidae. The record is from RefSeq and is a predicted model, not a curated record.
UUUUACAGUGUUCUGAAAAGCCACUGCAGGAGCCCCUGGUCACUGACUCCCACUCCACCCUGUGGGCUUGAGCUCACAGAAGCAGUCUGCACUGGACCCGGGCUUCCUCGUUCACCCACAGCAACAGGUCCUCUCUGUCAUCAGCCUCUCUUUUGCUGGUGCCCAACUGCUUCUUGGGACUUCCCAUAACACAUCUCUCUCAAACCCCUCCCGCCACCCCAUCUACACUCCUGCAGCAGCUCCCUGGCUCAAUCCUCGCAAUCUGAGGGGGUACAGACAGCCUCAUCCCCCGGGUCAAGCUGCCAAUUACCUCAGCCAGGCGAGAUGAGCCAAAUACACUCUACAUACAGAACAAAAAAGUAUUAGCGGGAGACCACUGUCCCAACAAACGCAUCUUUUCAAACUGUCGGCAGGCAACAUAAUAGGCUGAGAUUUAGUGCCAACAGCAGGUCCUGCAUGGCUCACUCUUAUAAAUGCCCAGUUUUGAAAGUAGCCAGUUGGCCACCUCAGGAGUCAAUGAAGUGUAGUGAGGUGCAGUUUCAGGCCACUCAGGCUAUGUGUUGGUUCAUUUCCAUCAUACGGUACUUUCCAGCAAAAUGAAGUAAGAGCAGUCAAGAGACUAGAAACAUGCAAAGGUAAUAUGAUCUUUCCUGUCACACACU